RNAcentral lists this transfer RNA (72 nucleotides) under Callorhinchus milii (elephant shark). RNAcentral's name for it is "tRNA-Ser (CGA) (tRNA-Ser-CGA-19-1)". It matches the Rfam family "tRNA". From Rfam's summary of the family: Transfer RNA (tRNA) molecules are approximately 80 nucleotides in length. Their secondary structure includes four short double-helical elements and three loops (D, anti-codon, and T loops). The record is from Rfam by way of RNAcentral. Lineage: Eukaryota; Metazoa; Chordata; Chondrichthyes; Chimaeriformes; Callorhinchidae.
AGUCCUGUAGCUCAGCGGUUAGAGCACUCGCCUCGAAAGAGAGAGACCUGGGUUUGAUUCCCGGCAGGGCGA